RNAcentral lists this transfer RNA (64 nucleotides) under Tenebrionoidea sp. 19 KM-2017. RNAcentral's name for it is "tRNA-Ile". Lineage: Eukaryota; Metazoa; Arthropoda; Insecta; Coleoptera. The record is from RNAcentral.
AUUGAAGUGCCUGAAUCUAAAGGAUUGUUUUGAUAGGACAAAUUAUGUACAAAUACCUUCAAUA